RNAcentral lists this long non-coding RNA (360 nucleotides) under Mustela putorius furo (domestic ferret). RNAcentral describes it as "lncRNA (ENSMPUG00000024900.1)". Lineage: Eukaryota; Metazoa; Chordata; Mammalia; Carnivora; Mustelidae. The record is from RNAcentral.
CUCCAUUAGCCUCACUAAAGCCAACUGCCCAGCCUUUGCCUGUUCCAUUCUCCCUGUCCAAAGCACCUGCUCUUCCGGUCCUCAAGGACAUGUGAUGUCUCACCCCUUCUGGAUGCCCUGGUCUUCAGCAGACUGGGUACCACCAGAUGUAGGCUGCUUUUACCAGGCUCUUACCUGGGGGCCAGGAGUCUGGAAACGGAGGAUCGUGGCAGUUCUGUGGUAAGGGGAGAGAAGCGGGGAGUCACGCCACAGACACCCAAACAUGAACACCCGCAGGGGCUGACACAUCUGUGCCUAGGCACAGUCAUAGAUACAACCUGUGCAAUGCACAUCCCACCGCAGCUCUGCCCUCUGCCUUCU